RNAcentral lists this ribosomal RNA (915 nucleotides) under uncultured archaeon. Its description in RNAcentral is "bacterial SSU rRNA". It matches the Rfam family "Archaeal small subunit ribosomal RNA", at positions 5 to 922 of the family's 1478-position model. The record is from RNAcentral.
CGGUUGAUCCUGCCGGAGGUUACUGCUAUCGGGGUUCGAUUAAGCCAUGCAAGUUAAAUGUUUUUCGUAAACAUAGCGAACUGCUCAGUAACACGUGGAUAACUUAACCUUAGGUCCGGCAUAACCCCGGGAAACUGGGGAUAAUUCCGGAUGUAUCAAGGAUGCUGGAAUGCCCUUUGGUUCAAAGUUUUUGUGCCUAAGGAUAGGUCUGCGGUCUAUCAGGUUGUAGUGGGUGUAACGUACCUACUAGCCGACGACGGAUACGGGUUGUGAGAGCAAGAGCCCGGAGAUGGAUUCUGAGACAAGAAUCCAGGCCCUACGGGGUGCAGCAGGCGCGAACACUUUACAAUGCGGGAAACCGCGAUAAGGGAACCCCGAGUGCCAGUACUAAGUGCUGGCUGUCUAGAUGAAUAGAUAUCAUUUAAUAGCAAGGGCCGGGCAAGACCGGUGCCAGCCGCCGCGGUAACACCGGCGGCCCGAGUGGUAACCGAUAUUAUUGGGUCUAAAGGGUCCGUAGCCUGUUUAAUAAGUCCUUUGGGAAAUCUGGCAGCUUAACUGUCAGGCUGCUAAAGGAUACUGUUAAACUUGGGACCGGUAGACGUAGGGGGUACUCCAGGGGUAGGAGUGAAAUCUUGUAAUCCCUGGGGGACCAUCUGUGGCGAAGGCGCCCUACGAGAACGGGUCCGACGGUGAGGGACGAAAGCUAGGGGAGCAAACCGGAUUAGAUACCCGGGUAGUCCUAGCUGUAAACGAUGCUCGCUAGGUGUCAGGCACGGUGCGUCCGUGUCUGGUGCCGCAGGGAAGCCGUUAAGCGAGCCACCUGGGGAGUACGGUCGCAAGGCUGAAAUUUAAAGGAAUUGGCGGGGGAGCACUACAACGGGUGGAGCCUGCGGUUUAAUUGGAUUCAACGCCGGA